This is a long non-coding RNA of Perca flavescens (yellow perch), 358 nucleotides long. RefSeq lists it as uncharacterized. NCBI's taxonomy places the organism in Eukaryota, Metazoa, Chordata, Actinopteri, Perciformes, Percidae. The transcript has 3 exons. The record is from RefSeq and is a predicted model, not a curated record.
CAUGCGUCAGUGCUGGUUCUUGGCCAAGAUCUAUCGUUUCACUGGCGGGACACUGGAGUCAAGCUGUUCGGUUUAGCUAAGUCCCGAUGUGUCGAGAGAGAAAAAGGGAUGCAGUUGUUUGUCGCCUCAUUGAGUACCUUGGGGAACAUCAAGAAGAUCUCAUCCAAGAUUGCUAGGAUGAAAAUGAGGACAACAUGGACUAAACCAUGAAGGUGCUUGUGAUCCAUAAUCCUGCAGCCAAGGAGCAUACAGCAGAUGUGUUGAUUGCAAUGGAGGGAAACCGAACCAAGGCAUGUGUGCUGUUGAUGGGAUUGAUCUACGCUCUCAAACUUGAGUAUUCCAAGAAGCUUGAGUAUAC